UUUUGAAUUUGUUAAAACAGUUUUACCUUGUCUUCGAAAUGUUAAAAUUGUUUAAAAAUGGUCGACGGCCCAUGGCCUUUUGAAACUUGAGCCCUGAUUCCAUGGAAAUGACUUUAUCACAUUGCUGAUGCCUGCCUUUAAAAAGGAUUUUAGAAGUAUAGAAUCAGCUCCACGAUGGUGGAAAACGGUAUCCGAAUUCCACGCUCAAUUUUAUUAAAACCUUUGCGGUCGUACAAAAGGUCAUUGUACUCAGAAAAAUAAGCUCUAUCGUUGUGAAUAAAUAAUAUCGCCAAUUUAAGGUCAAUGAUGAUUCAAAAUUCAGUAUCCACAAAUAGUAAAUUGAAAUGAAAAUAUAAUCACUAUCACUAUUGUAGAUUUGAUUUUUAAUCACCUCUCCGACAUCAGGAAUAAUUGUUUGAACAUGCUCGCAAAUUUUUUAUACUGUCGGAAAAAUAUUAUUUUUCUUGAAAAAAGUUUCAUUUUUAACCAUAUGAUCACCCCUAAUUCUGGUUCGACGCCGCCAUCACGCGACCGCGUGCUCCGUUUGUUUGCCAACAAAGCUGCAGCUGGAUGGUGAGACGAAGUAAGAGGGGGAGAGGUUUUGACAUUUUUAUGCCCGCAUCUGGCCCGCCUCCUAUUUCGUCGGUCGUUGAGCCGACAGUGGUCGUUUCCAACGACCGAGUCCAGCAAGGUACUGAUCGUACAAUAUUCUUAGCAGGCUUAUUCAUGGGGUCACGCAGAAAAAAGUUUUGUAGAAUCAGCCUGUACAAGGUUUAAAUCAACAAAAUUUUUGUUGAAUAUAAUCAACGCCGAUUUUGCGUUGAAACAAACCUUGAUUUUAUCGAUUCCACAAAAUUCUUUUGUUGUUUUGAAAAAGCUGGUUUGACGUUUAGCGUUGAUUCAACAAAAAUUUUGAUUUUCAAAUCAACAAAACGUUUUUUUGAUUCAAAUAUGCCUUAUUUUUCUGCGUGGUGUAACAGGCAGCGAUCAAUCGCAAAAUAAUGCCAUUUGAUGAGGGCGUAAGUGUUUUAAAUAUUUUUGUAUUUAAUUUAAAUUUUCUUUAAGCUGUUGCAUCGUACCAAAAAGUGCUCAAAGACAAACUUGUAGGAAAUUUGACGGACUUUCUGCAAAAAAACGUAAAGAAAAAACACGUAACUUUAAUGCGAUUUUUUGAUUUUUAAGUUUCAAAGUCAAAUUUGAAGGUGAGCUCUCGUUUUUUGGUGAGAAUAGCCUAAGGCGUCAUCCAUAAAGUAUGUCACGCAAACAUCGGCCAAAUGUGAUUAAGCUUAUAUUUGUGAGUGGUGGUCAAAGGCAAAAAAAAAAUCGUGAGUCUUUUUGUAACACCUUCGCCUAUUUCCACAAAGAAAUUCACGAAGAAAAAUCGCUUAAAAGUGGCGUGUUUUUUUUUCUAUCAGUGUAUUUUUUUCAGAAGGCCCGUAAAAUUUCCUACAAGUUUGUCUUUGAGCACUUUUUGAUUCGAUCCAACGGUUUCGAGAUACAGCAUAAUUUAUAUUGCGAAUUACAAAAAUAUUGAAAACACUUAAGCCCUUAUCAAACGUCAUAAUCGAGUGUAACUGGUUCCAUAUACACAAAACUGUCUUAUGUAUAGGUAUAAGCGAAAGAUAACAUGUCUACAAAGUUUCUCUCUCUAUGUAAAAUGCUUCAACAAACAACACAAAGAAAACCAUUUUUUGAUUGAUAAUUCUGGAUGGAGAAGAAUUGAGGUUUGAUUCGACGCAAAAUUUUGUUGAUUAAAUUCAACAACACAUUUUGUUGAAUCAAACCUCAUACAGGCUGAUUUUUCAAAACAUUUUUCUGCGUGAAGAAAUUUUUUGAUUGUUCUAGAGGACAAAACCGCACCUAUAGAAAAGUAUAGACCAAAAUUUUGCUGCAAAGUUUUGAUUAAAAAAAAAUACUCGAAAAAUUUUAUUGACCUAUUUUUUGAAAUUUUAAAUCGAAAAGUACUUACAGAUUUUUUGGGGGGAGUUGUCCACGUGCUUCCAUCCCGCCAGUCCAUAUGUAUGGCAUUAGCGAGGGGAAUGUCACUCCGCGAUAACACACUAAAACGCACAAAAACGAGCUCGAAAAGCAUCAACGCUACUCAUCGUGCCGAGUUUUCACAUAACGCCACCUUAAAGCAAGUUAUCGCAGGUUAACGCGCGUUAAAGCGAGUUAAAGCGGUCAGCGUCUGCUCGAUUUUUGAACCAAACCAAAUCGAUCUUGCAACCCUGCCGUCAUUUUCGAGUAGUUUUUUUUCGGGUUUGGCAACCCGUUCUUUGUUUUGAUUAUUUUCCUGCAGUUUUCGUAAAUAAACAGCAAUCUGUGAGUUUAAUUUUUUUGCCCACUCGGUGGCGAAACCGCUGCAGGUUUUCCGCCCCGCUGGUGGUUUCACGGGGCAGGUGGAAUCGUCCCGAGUCCGAGGUACGAGGAGAUGUUUGAACCGACGGCAGGUCCGGAGAAUCCGGGUUUGACGGAGCAGAUGCGGGAGCCGAAUAAUAUUCUUCAGGGUUUGUGGAGGCGGAACAUAUUAGUGACUUUCAAUUUGAGAACCAGCGAAAGACGGUCCACAGUUACUAAGGGGCGCGUUUGAUCCGUUGGUGGAGGAAGGACCUAGUGGAGGUGGUGGGGCACUUGCAGGCCGCGUACGACACGAACGGGAAGACGGUGUUUGAAUCUUCUAUAGUGAAUCGGGCGGGGGAUAAGAGAAAAAAGUUGAAAAUCGACAAUCCGGGAGAAGUUGGUGGAGUUUUUGGACUGUGAGGCGAGAACGAGGAACUUGUUUCGAGGCCGAGCCGGUUGUGAUCGAAGAGAUGAUGGCCACGAAGCAGCACCGGAACCGCAUGACUGAGGAUAAGCCGAACGAGUACAUGCUGCACAACAAGGACUUGGAAGCUAUCUUGGGCGAUCGUUUCUGCAUCGCCGCAUGAUGUCGUAGUCAAUCUGGGCCGAUGUGGUGCCCCGAACAGUGCUUCCUGCUAGUGGCGGGAACGUCCGACGUCCGAUAAGAUUAUUUGGUGGGGCACCUGCAGUGGUGACUUCGUCCAGGAGUAUGAACGACAUCUGGGCGCGGUAAACUCGAUCACCUUCAACGACUAAAACCAGCUCUUGACGACCUCCGACGACGGCAUGGCUUGGCGUCGGCAAAGUCUACAUCUGUUUCACGACCUGUACGAGCAGCUGAGUGCCUACACCAACAGCAUCGCCGUGCGCUGAUUCUUGAGUUUCUCCUGCUCCUCGCAGAUACGAUUAGUUUAGUGGAGGGAGGUCCACUGUUGAAUCUGGACCACCGCGAGGACAGCAACAAUAGUAAUGGUUUGCCGGCACCGGUGCCUAUGCUGGCGGAUUUCUUCAAGGACAGGCAACUCCAAGCUGAAAAUUCCCGAGCCCGACCCCAUCUAAGGGACUCUUCCGCGCAGUGAAGUUACGAUUGGUUCAACAUGAUGCCCAAAAAGAUGAAUCACCGACACAAGUCCUAAGGUCUGAAAAGUGCUGCUGCUGUUCCGUCUGCGCCAGAUCAACAACCACCAUCCUCAAGCUGAACAUGGCCAUCAAGAAAAUGCUGCGCAUCGCCGAUCCGUACUUCACUUACGGCUACUUCUCACUCUAGUCGAUCCGCCACCUGGUCUAAAAGCGUGACUCCGUCAAGCACCGACAUUGCUGCAUCACAAUCACGGACAAGAUCGAGCGCUGAACGCACUCAACCAGCUGGGCAGCAUUCAGAGAAAGAUCAACGGCUCAAACGGCAAGGGCGGUAACUCCAAACUGGACGUUCUCAAGCACUGGUCUCGCGCACUGUUCCCACCCCGCGGCACAUUUGUCCCGCAGCCUCCUUAGUUCGAUAUGAUUUUGUACACUUAAUUGAAUAAAAUCCUGUUUUUCUGUUGACAUUGUUUAUUUCAUUAUAGCAUAAGAUUUAUUUAUGCAUUUACACAAUAAUUAAGAGCGAUUCUACUAUCAGAAUCCACCUGAAAUUUUCAGGGGUUGUACGGACAUAUAUAACUAGCAUCUGGGGCUAAAUUUGAGCACCCACACGUCUUCAUCAGCAUUUCAGGUUGUACAGGUAAAUCUUCGUUUUACUCCUUGUCGGCCACGUCCGGCAUGUGGCCGAGUUCUUUACCAAGAAGCUCAAGCAGGAUUCACCGCCGCUGUUGGACGCAACUGCGACGGUCUCCGGAACAACGGGAGCCUGUACCGGCUGCAGUUGAUGCUGUCCUCCGAGCUGGUAAACGCGCCCCUAUGCGUUGUAGUUGUUCACGGCCAUUCUCUCAAUCAUGCCGUCCUGUAGGGUGAAGAAAAAACAAUUAGAGCUAAAACUAAAGUAAGAAUAGUGUUUGACUAGCUCUGAGAGAUUCCGGCCGGUUCCGAUUAGCACAAAAACAGAUGUUCGAACGCUUCGCCCUGAUUUUCACCAGCCAGCUCAAGGAUCUGAUUGGCAACCUGUUCUCCUCUGGCCUUUCGAUUCCUGGCGAACACUUCUCCCACACAAACACACACACUGAAAAGGCUGUCUCCACCACGAAAGCGACGAAAGACUCGAAUCUCUGGAACAGGAACCCUUCGCAGGAGCAGAAAACGGUUCCGACGGAUAAUCUGUCUCCACCGGUUUUGCUCUCCCCUGGUUCAUCGUCGUACAGCUCCGUUGGCAGGCUCUUCGCACCCAACACCGGCCCGGAACACGCCCGUUUUCAUUAAUCUUCCGUCCGGAAGUUGCAAUCUUUGAAGCCGAAUCUUGCUUCCUCCGUCCGGUGACGGAGAAAAUAUUAGCAAAACAAACUGCUCGAUUAAUUUGACAACGAGAACUGUCAUUUGCUCUUGACAGUUCUCGCUGUCAAAAAAAUCGAGCAGUGUGAUGCGAGAACGCAAGAAAAUUUAAGCCAAAAAGCAAGUUAUCGCGGUGUUGAGUACCCCUCGUUUGAGUACUAGUCAAAUGACAGCACAAAUACAUGUAACGCGCGUUCUCUAACUUACCUUAAAUAAACGAGCUUGUGCUCUAUUCGGCCUCUUUCAACGCUGAAACUCUAACUGAUAACAGCUCGUCUUUUCCUGCUCCGCAAAUCACAACUUCAACGCUUUCCCCGGUUAUAUUAAGUGGCGACGGGGAUAAAGGUGUAAUUUUUUUUUACUACGUGCGGUG
Long non-coding RNA from Culex pipiens pallens (northern house mosquito), 5134 nucleotides. RefSeq lists it as uncharacterized. The transcript is spliced from 3 exons. The record is from RefSeq and is a predicted model, not a curated record. Lineage: Eukaryota; Metazoa; Arthropoda; Insecta; Diptera; Culicidae.